RNAcentral lists this ribosomal RNA (468 nucleotides) under uncultured bacterium. RNAcentral's name for it is "partial 16S ribosomal RNA". It matches the Rfam family "Bacterial small subunit ribosomal RNA", at positions 28 to 507 of the family's 1533-position model. The record is from RNAcentral.
GACGAACGCUGGCGGCGUGCUUAACACAUGCAAGUCGAACGGAAAGGCCCUGCUUUUGUGGGGUGCUCGAUUGGCGAACGGGUGAGUAACACGUGAGUAACCUGCCCUUGACUUUGGGAUAACUUCAGGAAACUGGGGCUAAUACCGGAUAGGAGCUCCUGCUGCAUGGUGGGGGUUGGAAAGUUUCGGCGGUUGGGGAUGGACUCGCGGCUUAUCAGCUUGUUGGUGGGGUAGUGGCUUACCAAGGGUUUGACGGGUAGCCGGCCUGGGAGGGUGACCGGCCACAUGGGGACUGAGAGACGGCCCAGACGCCUACGGGAGGCAGCAGUGGGGAAUAUGGCACAAUGGGCGGAAGCCUGAUGCAGCAACGCCGCGUGCGGGAUGACGGCCUUCGGGUUGUAAACCGCUUUCGCCUGUGACGAAGCGUGAGUGACGGUAAUGGGUAAAGAAGCACCGGCUAACUACGUG